GUCAAAAGAAAAAAAAAUCAAGAUCCGAUGGAUAUUAUAAAUUUGAGUGACAUUUAACGGGUUGAAAGAAAAGAGUGAGAGGGUUGGAAGCAAGUCUAAACCUCAAAGGUGUUGAAAUGGAAUACAUGGCUUCUCCAGAGAGUAUAUAAUUAUAAUGUGAUUGUAGGACCACCCAAAUCAAGAUAGAAGAAAAAGCAAAUCCUGAAAUUGAAACUGGAAAAAAAAAUCAGCAAAUGGCUCGCAUCGCUUCAAACCCUCUUUCUGUUCCCAGAUUUAGGCCUUACUUUCAAGUUUCUGACACCGCCCUCCUCUUCAAAUCUCCUUCCCUUCCUCCUUAUAGAACUCCCAAGUUUCAAUCCAUCAUCUGUCAUACAAAUCCACUUCCCACCCAAACACAAUCCUCCGACGAGGUACCAACUUCAAUAACGGAAUCAAAGUUUAGGUACCUAGAUUAAUCAAAAAAUGGUUUAGGUUCUAGGCAUGGUGGUGUGGCUUAAAGCGGCUGUUAUAAACGAAGAAGGAACUCAAGCUAUUUUUAUCAGACUAUGAAUGUCAUCUGAAAGAUAUCUCCAUAAAUGUAGAUGGAUCAUUGAUGCUUUCCGAGGGAAAAUCAUGUCUGAAGUUGAAGAUACGAUUAUCAAGAAGAUCAAAGAGGGAAUAAUAAAGCUUGACUCAUUGUUGCAGUCGCUUCCAAAACAACUGCAAGUUAAUAGUAUUGUUGCAUUGAAUGUGACUUUCAUGGAUGACCCUUUGUUUACUAAUUCUUCCGUAGAGCUUGAAAUUAAUGGUUUAUUCAACAGAGCAGAUGAAAUUUCAGUUUCAAACUAUUACAGUAAAAGAGCACGGAAUUUCCUUUCUUGCAAUGGUUUCUGCUUGGAUUGUGCUAUUUCUUUUGUCUCUUGGCAUUUGUUGUGUUUAACAGUUUCUUAUGAUGUUCUGUAGGUUUUAUCUGCCCUUAACUGUACAGAUUUGUAUUGAUGACAUAAGUAGCAGGCAUGGUUAUUGUUCCUUUACACUGGUUUGGCUAUGCGAGAGAACGUAUUGCGAGCAAAUGGAAGUGAUAUUCGUCCAUGAACCAGCUUAUGGUUGAAUCAAUUUCUGAGCUUCAGAAAAAGGGCAAUGAGAUUGAAUGAAAGUGAUCUUUUAAGAGAGUACACUGGACAACGAUAUGAAAUUGAGAUGCCCAUGACGUCUUGGGUGGGUAAAAUACCAGAGUAUCCUCAUCCAGUGGCAUCUUCCAUAUCCAGCAGAGUGAUGGUAGAGCUUGGAAUGGUAACUGCUGUAAUUACUGCCGCAGCAGUUCUUGUUGUAGGGUUUCUAGCAGCUGCUGCAUUUGCUGUCACCAGUUUUAAAUUUAAAUGUAUUAAAUUACAUAUUGAAUCAAUGUUUAUGUAUUAAACUUAAAUUCAUUAAUUUUAUAUUUAGUUUUAAAGUUAAAAUUUUAAUAGAAAA
RNA transcript from Gossypium arboreum, 1452 nucleotides. It is a transcript of the gene named putative BPI/LBP family protein At1g04970, with no coding region annotated. The record is from RefSeq and is a predicted model, not a curated record. The transcript is spliced from 8 exons. Lineage: Eukaryota; Viridiplantae; Streptophyta; Magnoliopsida; Malvales; Malvaceae.